This 24-nucleotide microRNA is filed under the name Gallus gallus (chicken). Its description in RNAcentral is "microRNA Ros-gga". The record is from RNAcentral. Lineage: Eukaryota; Metazoa; Chordata; Aves; Galliformes; Phasianidae.
UAACUCUGUCUGGUAACAGAUGUU